AGCGAACGCUGGCGGCAGGCCUAACACAUGCAAGUCGAACGAACCUUUCGGGGUUAGUGGCGGACGGGUGAGUAACACGUGGGAACGUGCCUUUAGGUUCGGAAUAACUCAGGGAAACUUGUGCUAAUACCGAAUGUGCCCUUCGGGGGAAAGAUUAAUCGCCUUUAGAGCGGCCCGCGUCUGAUUAGCUAGUUGGUUGAGGUAAUGGCUCACCAAGGCGACGAUCAGUAGCUGGUCUGAGAGGAUGAUCAGCCACAUUGGGACUGAGACACGGCCCAAACUCCGACGGGAGGCAGCAGUGGGGAAUCUUGCGCAAUGGGCGAAAGCCUGACGCAGCCAUGCCGCGUGAAUGAUGAAGGUCUUAGGAUUGUAAAAUUCUUUCACCGGGGACGAUAAUGGCGGUACCCGGAGAAGAAGCCCCGGCUAACUUCGUG
This 434-nucleotide ribosomal RNA is filed under the name uncultured bacterium. RNAcentral describes it as "partial 16S ribosomal RNA". It matches the Rfam family "Bacterial small subunit ribosomal RNA", at positions 29 to 507 of the family's 1533-position model. The record is from RNAcentral.